UAGUGGCAAACGGGUGAGUAACGCGUAGGCAACCUGCCCUUCAGAUGGGGACAACAUUUCGAAAGGAAUGCUAAUACCGAAUGACGUGCAUUGGUCGCAUGACCGAUGCACCAAAGGCCGGGCAACCGGUCACUGAAGGAUGGGCCUGCGUCUGAUUAGCUAGUUGGUGGGGUAACGGCCCACCAAGGCGACGAUCAGUAGCCGGUCUGAGAGGAUGAACGGCCACAUUGGGACUGAGACACGGCCCAAACUCCUACGGGAGGCAGCAGUGGGGAAUCUUCCGCAAUGGGCGCAAGCCUGACGGAGCAACGCCGCGUGAGUGAAGAAGGUUUUCGGAUCGUAAAGCUCUGUUGUCAGGGACGAGAGACUUGAUCAGGAAAUGGGUCAAGGAGGACGGUACCUGGCGAGAAAGCCACGGCUAACUACGUGCCAGCAGCCGCGGUAAUACGUAGGUGGCGAGCGUUGUCCGGAAUUAUUGGGCGUAAAGGGAGCGCAGGUGGGAUUGUAAGUCAGUCUUAAAAGUUCGGGGCUCAACCCCGUGAUGGGAUUGAAACUACAAUUCUUGAGUGCAGGAGAGGAAAGCGGAAUUCCUAGUGUAGCGGUGAAAUGCGUAGAUAUUAGGAGGAACACCAGUGGCGAAGGC
This 643-nucleotide ribosomal RNA is filed under the name Anaerovibrio sp. RM48. Its description in RNAcentral is "bacterial SSU rRNA". It matches the Rfam family "Bacterial small subunit ribosomal RNA", at positions 93 to 722 of the family's 1533-position model. Lineage: Bacteria; Bacillati; Bacillota; Negativicutes; Selenomonadales; Selenomonadaceae. The record is from RNAcentral.